GACGAACGCUGGCGGCGUGCUUAACACAUGCAAGUCGAACGGGCUGCCUGGGUUUCGGAUCGGGUGUUGAGUGGCGAACGGGUGAGUAACACGUGAGUAACCUGCCCCUCUCUUUGGGAUAACGUCAGGAAACCGGCGCUAAUACCGGGUAUUCUCCCUUCCUCCCAGGGGGUGGUUGGGAAAGUUCUGUUCUUGUGGGGGGUGGGCGCGCGGCCUAUCAGCUUGGUGGUGGGGUGAUGGCCUACCAAGGAGGCGACUGGUAGCCGGCGUGAGGGGGUGGAGGGGCACAGUGGGACUGGGACACGGGACAGAGUCCUAAGGGAGGCAGGAGUGGGGAGUAGUGAACAAUGGGCGGAAGGCUGAUGCAGGGAGGAGGAGUGGGGGAUGAGGGAUUUCGGGUUGUGAAUCGCAUUCAGUGAAGAACAAGGAUGUUUGUGGGUUGAGGGUAGGCGGAGAAGAAGCGCCGGCUAACUACGUG
This 478-nucleotide ribosomal RNA is filed under the name uncultured bacterium. RNAcentral's name for it is "partial 16S ribosomal RNA". It matches the Rfam family "Bacterial small subunit ribosomal RNA", at positions 28 to 507 of the family's 1533-position model. The record is from RNAcentral.